Molecule: ribosomal RNA, 712 nt
Filed under: Skeletonema menzelii
Lineage: Eukaryota; Bacillariophyta; Thalassiosirophyceae; Thalassiosirales; Thalassiosiraceae
Description: partial Bacterial large subunit ribosomal RNA
Rfam family: Bacterial large subunit ribosomal RNA
Source: RNAcentral
CAUGAGCAGGUUGAAAGUGCCGUAACAGGCACCGGAGGACCGAACCCACUGUCUUUGAAAAGCCAGGGGAUGACUUGUGGAUAGGGGUGAAAGGCUAAUCAAACUCGGUGAUAGCUGGUUCUCCCCGAAAGCUAUUUAGGUAGCGCCUCGGACGAACACCAUUGGGGGUAGAGCACUGUUUCGGCUAGGGGGUCAUCCCGACUUACCAAACCGAUGCAAACUCCGAAUACCAAUGAGUACUAUCCGGGAGACAGACUGCGGGUGCUAACGUCCGUAGUCAAGAGGAAAACAAUCCAGACCGCCAGCUAAGGCCCCAAAAUUAUAGUUAAGUGGGAAACGAUGUGGGAAGGCAUAGACAGCUAGGAGGUUGGCUUAGAAGCAGCCAUCCUUUAAAGAAAGCGUAAUAGCUCACUAGUCGAGUCGGCCUGCGCGGAAGAUGUAACGGGGCUCAAACCAGGUACCGAAGCUACGGGUAUCACUUAGGUGAUGCGGUAGAGGAGCGUUCUGUAAGCCUGUGAAGGUGAGUUGAGAAGCUUGCUGGAGGUAUCAGAAGUGCGAAUGCUGACAUGAGUAACGACAAUGCGAGUGAAAAACUCGCACGCUGAAAGACCAAGGGUUCCAGUCCAACGUUAAUCGGGGCUGGGUGAGUCGACCCCUAAGGCGAGGCCGAAAGGCGUAGUCGAUGGGAACGGGGCAAAUAUUCCCCGGCCAG